GACGAACGCUGGCGGCGUGCCUAAUACAUGCAAGUCGAGCGAAGUUUUUCUGGUGCUUGCACUAGAAAAACUUAGCGGCGAACGGGUGAGUAACACGUAAAGAACCUGCCUCAUAGACUGGGACAACUAUUGGAAACGAUAGCUAAUACCGGAUAACAGUAUUUCUCGCAUGAGAGAUAUUUAAAAGUUGGUUAUGCUAACACUAUGAGAUGGCUUUGCGGUGCAUUAGCUAGUUGGUGGGGUAAAGGCCCACCAAGGCGACGAUGCAUAGCCGACCUGAGAGGGUGAUCGGCCACACUGGGACUGAGACACGGCCCAGACUCCUACGGGAGGCAGCAGUAGGGAAUCUUCCACAAUGGGCGAAAGCCUGACGGAGCAACGCCGCGUGAAUGAAGAAGGAUUUCGGUUCGUAAAGCUCUGUUGUUAGGGAAGAAUGGAUAUGUAGUAACUAUACAUGUAAGAGACGGUACCUAACCAGAAAGCCACGGCUAACUACGUG
RNAcentral lists this ribosomal RNA (499 nucleotides) under uncultured bacterium. Its description in RNAcentral is "partial 16S ribosomal RNA". It matches the Rfam family "Bacterial small subunit ribosomal RNA", at positions 28 to 507 of the family's 1533-position model. The record is from RNAcentral.